Molecule: ribosomal RNA, 870 nt
Filed under: uncultured methanogenic archaeon
Lineage: Archaea; Methanobacteriati; Methanobacteriota
Description: bacterial SSU rRNA
Rfam family: Archaeal small subunit ribosomal RNA
Source: RNAcentral
GCCCUUCGGUUGAUCCUGCCGGAGGUUACUGCUAUCGGGGUCCGAUUAAGCCAUGCGAGUUGAGAGGGGUAAGCCCUCGGCAUACUGCUCAGUAACACGCGAACAACCUGCCCUUGGGUCUGGGAUAACCCCGGGAAACUGGGACUAAUACCGGAUAGAUCAGAGAUACUGGAAUGUUCUCUGGUCCAAAACUCCGGUGCCCAAGGAUGGGUCCGCGGCCUAUCAGGUAGUAGUGGGUGUAACGUACCUACUAGCCAGCGACGGGUAAGGGUUGUGAGAGCAAGAUCCCUGAGAUGGAUUCUGAGACAUGAAUCCAGGCCCUACGGGGUGCAGCAGGAGCCAAAACUUUACACUGCGGGAAUCCGCGAUAAGGGGACCCAGAGUGCCAGCACCUAUUGCUGGCUGUCCUACUGUCUAAAUAACAGUGGUUAGCAAGGGCCGGGCAAGACCGGUGCCAGUCGCCGCGGUAACACCGGCGGCCCGAGUGGUAACCGUCAUUAUUGGGUUUAAAGGGUCCGUAGCCGGCUUAUUAAGUCUUUUGGGAAAUCUGGCGACUCAAUCGUCAGGCGUCCAAGAGAUACUGGUAGGCUUGGGACCGGGAGAGGUGGGAGGUACUCCAGGGGUAGGGGUGAAAUCUCGUAAUCCUUGGGGGACCACCGAUGGCGAAGGCAUCCCACCAGAACGGGUCCGACGGUGAGGGACGAAAGCUGGGGGCACGAACCGGAUUAGAUACCCGGGUAGUCCCAGCUGUAAACGAUGCUCGCUAGGUGUCAGGUGCGGUGCGACCGCAUCUGGUGCCGCAGUGAAAACUUGAAGCGAGUCACCUGGGAAGUACGGUCGCAAGGCUGAAACUUAAAGGAAUUGGCGGGA